Molecule: ribosomal RNA, 807 nt
Filed under: Ramularia chamaedryos
Lineage: Eukaryota; Fungi; Ascomycota; Dothideomycetes; Mycosphaerellales; Mycosphaerellaceae
Description: eukaryotic LSU rRNA
Rfam family: Eukaryotic large subunit ribosomal RNA
Source: RNAcentral
GGGAUUGCCCUAGUAACGGCGAGUGAAGCGGCAACAGCUCAAAUUUGAAAUCUGGCGCAAGCCCGAGUUGUAAUUUGUAGAGGAUGCUUCUAGGUAGCGACCGGUUUAAGUUCCUUGGAACAGGACGUCAUAGAGGGUGAGAAUCCCGUAUGUGACCGGCCCGCACCUUCUACGUAGCUCCUUCGACGAGUCGAGUUGUUUGGGAAUGCAGCUCUAAAUGGGAGGUAAAUUUCUUCUAAAGCUAAAUACCGGCCAGAGACCGAUAGCGCACAAGUAGAGUGAUCGAAAGAUGAAAAGCACUUUGGAAAGAGAGUUAAAAAGCACGUGAAAUUGUUGAAAGGGAAGCGCUUACAACCAGACUUCUGGGCGGUGUUCCGCCGGUCUUUUGACCGGUCUACUCGCCGUCCCGAGGCCAACAUCAUCUGGGACCGCUGGAUAAGACCUUAGGAAUGUAGCUUCCCUCGGGAAGUGUUAUAGCCUCUGGUGAUGCAGCGCGUCUCGGGUGAGGUCCGCGCUUCGGCAAGGAUGUUGGCGUAAUGGUUGUCAGCGGCCCGUCUUGAAACACGGACCAAGGAGUCUAACAUCUAUGCGAGUGUUCGGGUGUCAAACCCCUACGCGUAAUGAAAGUGAACGGAGGUGGGAAGGGUAACCUGCACCAUCGACCGAUCCUGAUGUCCUCGGAUGGAUUUGAGUAAGAGCAUAGCUGUUGGGACCCGAAAGAUGGUGAACUAUGCCUGAAUAGGGUGAAGCCAGAGGAAACUCUGGUGGAGGCUCGCAGCGGUUCUGACGUGCAAAUCGAUCGUCAAA